GGGGUGACCAGUCCCAGGAGAGCAGCUAUCUCACAAGGAAGCAGCUCCUCUGAGAGCCUCUGCAGUAGAGCAUGAUGGAGAUGUUCUCAGAGGAGGCAAACCCCAACUCCCCUCCUGCCAUGGAGCAGCCAGGCCUGUGCAUGAGGCCCCAGGUGCUGACCGAAGGGGAAAUCAGUCAAGACCUAGAACUGUCCCAGGACGGAGAUGACAGCGACAAAGAGGAGUUGCAGGAUGACGGGGAAUUCAUCACCAUCCACACCAUUGGGGUCAACCCCAGGUAACCACAGCUCCUGCAGGAUCCCAACGUUGCUCCCCAGGACUCGGCCAAGGCAGCAGCUUGUCCGGCCUUGGCCGAGCAGGUGAAGGCAGCCAGGGCACAGAUCCAGGGCCCUGCCCCACAGAGUCCCUGCUUCCCCCCAGGCCCCUCAGCUCCCCAGCUGGGAGCCCUCGGGGAGCUGCCAGCUCCCCCUAAGAAAUGCCCAUCCCGCUUCAGGCGGGCGCUGCAGGCGCUGUUCUGCUCCCUGAGGCCACAGCUGGAUGAGGAACGCCCGCUGCCCGCGCCAGGCUGGGCCCCACCGAUGGCCUGCCCAGCAUCCUGAGCAAGCCACAAGGGCUGCCUUCACCUGGAUGUGUCCCUCCAGGCUGAGCAGGACUGCAACAAAAACCACUCUCCCAUCACUAUGAAAGUUGGGUUUAGGAAACAGUAGUAGUAAGAAAGAAAAAUUAAAAAAAAAAAAAUUAAAAAUCCCCCCAAAAAACAAACAAAAAAAACCAACCAAACAAAAAGAAUAGGAAUAAGAAUAAGAAGAUGAUAAAGAAAUAGUAGUAGUACAUUAUAAUAAGAAGAAAUAGAAUAAAAAUAAAAAUAGUAAGUUGAAUAAGAGUAAGAAGAAUAAGAAGAUGAAGAAAUUGUAGUAGUAGUAGUAGUAGUAAAUAAAGAAAAAAAAAGAAGAAGAAGAUCAAGAGGAAGAAAUAAUAGUGGUAAAUAAUAAUCAGAAGAAUAAGAAAAAGAAUAAGAAUAAUAAGUUGAAUAAGAAUUAGAAGAAGAGAUAAGAGUAGAAAUAAAUAAUAAAUAGAAUAGGAAAAACAAUAAGAGUAAGAAAAAUAAGAAUGACUAAGAUGAAGAAAAAGGAGUAGGAGUAGUAGUAGUAAAGAAGAAGACUAAGGUGAAGAAGAUGGAAUAGUAGUAGUCAUAAAUAAUAAUAUCAAAUUAAAAACACAUCCACACAUCUUCUAGAAUCACAGAAUGAAUGGAAGGACCCUAAAGUCAUCUAGUUUCAACUGAUUAUCUUCUGCUCUCUCUCUCUCUCUCUCUCUCUGAGACCUCUUUCCUAUUUAUUUCUCUCUCUUUACCUCCCCUUUCCUGUUAAAUAAAAUCCAGGUUAAAUGAAAUCCA
Long non-coding RNA from Vidua chalybeata, 1396 nucleotides. RefSeq lists it as uncharacterized. The transcript has 2 exons. The record is from RefSeq and is a predicted model, not a curated record. NCBI's taxonomy places the organism in Eukaryota, Metazoa, Chordata, Aves, Passeriformes, Viduidae.